RNAcentral lists this unclassified non-coding RNA (330 nucleotides) under soil metagenome. RNAcentral's name for it is "partial contains 5.8S ribosomal RNA, internal transcribed spacer 2, and large subunit ribosomal RNA". The stretch from base 1 to 120 matches the Rfam family "5.8S ribosomal RNA", at positions 35 to 154 of the family's 154-position model. The record is from RNAcentral.
GAUGAAGAACGUAGCGAAAUGCGAUAAGUAAUGUGAAUUGCAGAAUUCAGUGAAUCAUCGAAUCUUUGAACGCACAUUGCGCGCCCUGGUAUUCCGGGGGGCAUGCCUGUUCGAGCGUCAUUUCACCACUCAAGCCUCGCUUGGUAUUGGGCAACGCGGUCCGCCGCGUGCCUCAAAUCGACCGGCUGGGUCUUCUGUCCCCUAAGCGUUGUGGAAACUUUCGCUAAAGGGUGUUCGGGAGGCUACGCCGUAAAACAACCCCAUUUCUAAGGUUGACCUCGGAUCAGGUAGGGAUACCCGCUGAACUUAAGCAUAUCAAUAAGCGGAGGA